GGGGCCUUAGCUCAGCUGGGAGAGCACCUGCUUCGCAAGCAGGGGGUCGUCGGUUCGAUCCCGACAGGCUCCACCAUUUGAGUGAAACGACUUUGGGUCUGUAGCUCAGGUGGUUAGAGCGCACCCCUGAUAAGGGUGAGGUCGGUGGUUCGAGUCCUCCCAGACCCACCACUCUGAAUGUAGUGCACACUUAAGAAUUUAUAUGGCUCAGCGUUGAGGCUGAGACAUGUUCUUUUAUAACUUGUGACGUAGCGAGCGUUUGAGAUAUCUAUCUAAACGUGUCGUUGAGGCUAAGGCGGGGACUUCGAGUCCCUAAAUAAUUGAGUCGUAUGUUCGCGUUGGUGGCUUUG
The sequence is a transfer RNA, 350 nucleotides long. The stretch from base 95 to 168 matches the Rfam family "tRNA".